GGGGUGAAAAGAAGAUUGAGAAGCCCUGGACAGAUCUUUCUAAAGCCAGAGCAACCAUGGGGUACUUUCCUCCAGUGGCCAAAGUUUAUUUGACACAACAAAGUUUCUAAUCAGGCCACGGAGACCUGGAUUUCUCCUCAUUUGCCUCACUCCCGGUCUCUUCCUCUGAAGAUGCUGGAGACUUUGUUGCAAGAAAGGAUGGCUUUAGGUCAUGUUGCUGAGGCCUGAUCUUAAAGAUCUAAUUGCUAUUGGAAGAGAAUCCUGUUUCCCAACUGGGCCUCCCCUCUGGAGAUGGAGCAAGGAAGACUGUCCAACUCUGCUCUGGGCACCCUGCUGAUGGAUGAGGUGUCAGGCCAGUCGUCAUGUGAGGACUGGUUUCCAAAUGUUGCUGUGCUCCACCUUCAUACCUUCGCCUAUGUUAGAACUUCUGAGAAGCUGAAGCAUCACAUAUAAAAAGCCAAGACCAUCCUCAAGGAGUUUAAUGAAUGUGGCAUCACAAGAAAAAUAUGCAUCAACAUUGAAAAGCAAAGCCUUCCAGCCAGUUCAAUGGUGGGAGUCUCCCCCUGCUCUUCCUGCACAAUCAUUUCCCAUUGAGGAAGAAUGUGAAAAUGACGCACAGGUGAGGGAGGCAUACUAUAAGACCGCUUCUUACCUUUCGUUUCCUGGAGCCAAUAUGAAUGAAGACCCAGAGAGAGGAGAAGGGAAAGAGAAGCUGCCAAAAACAGACAAUGGGAGAAAAGAAGUGAGCACCAAGAGCAUCCUGGGAUGAAAAUGAGGAAGGCUGGAGAUUUGUCAUUGUCAGUGUUGUCAUUUUCUGUCGUAUUUUAAAUCUGAGAGCUUUUAUGGUAGGAGUAUAUGUGCUGUUUUAUAAUAGCUUAGAGAAAAUUUUUCAUUGGAUGUUUUAGUCCAUUCAUUCCUUAGCACUUACAAAAGUCACAGGCAAAAAUCAAACGUGCAAGCAAAUCCCAAACUCUCUACAUGUAAAGUGGUGAAUUCUAAUUAUUUUUCAAAUUUGUUCAGUUGUUAUAGUUAUGCCAUUGCUGUGUAUUUGUAUUUAUCUUUUUUAUUAAAUACAUAUUCACUAAUCUGCC
This 1091-nucleotide long non-coding RNA is filed under the name Homo sapiens (human). Its description in RNAcentral is "long intergenic non-protein coding RNA 1414". Lineage: Eukaryota; Metazoa; Chordata; Mammalia; Primates; Hominidae. The record is from RNAcentral.